ACAUGUUGCCAACUAUGUGUUUGACGAGUCAAAAGAUCCUAGUGAGAUGCUUUGUGCAUAUGGUGGCUAUGGCGUGACACGGGAACAACUUCAAUGCUUAGUAGGGGAGAGCUUCAUUGAUAUUCCGGUGAUUUCCAUGUUUUGCUGAUACAUGAAUGCAAAAGAAGAGAAUCCUUCUCGCAGACACUUUUUUAAUCCAUAC
Vitis riparia (riverbank grape) is the source of this 202-nucleotide long non-coding RNA. RefSeq lists it as uncharacterized. The transcript has 3 exons. NCBI's taxonomy places the organism in Eukaryota, Viridiplantae, Streptophyta, Magnoliopsida, Vitales, Vitaceae. The record is from RefSeq and is a predicted model, not a curated record.